UUUUGAAGAAGCUAAGGAGUGUUGCUCGUGGGAGAUAUUGUUGUUAACGAUGAUGAUGAGCUAUGAAGAUGCUGAUCAAGGUGGUGUGGACGACGGCAUGAUUGGUGAUCAACCUUUGUCUUAGGAAGAAGAAGAAAUCGAUGUUUUGUUUUUUUUUUUUGUUUUUUUUUUAUAAUAAAUAAAGCAUUAUUGAAAGAAAAAUAUUAAGAAGCUGCUUAAGAAAAGAAAAUGUGAAUAGCCAGUUUUUU
Molecule: long non-coding RNA, 248 nt
Filed under: Capsella rubella
Lineage: Eukaryota; Viridiplantae; Streptophyta; Magnoliopsida; Brassicales; Brassicaceae
Description: long non-coding RNA (CRUB_LNC003114)
Source: RNAcentral